GUGGUGGCUCAGAGGUAGAGUACUUGCCUGGCACGUGUGAGGCCCUGGGUUCAAUUCUCAGCACCACA
RNAcentral lists this transfer RNA (68 nucleotides) under Marmota monax (woodchuck). It matches the Rfam family "tRNA". From Rfam's summary of the family: Transfer RNA (tRNA) molecules are approximately 80 nucleotides in length. Their secondary structure includes four short double-helical elements and three loops (D, anti-codon, and T loops). The record is from Rfam by way of RNAcentral. Lineage: Eukaryota; Metazoa; Chordata; Mammalia; Rodentia; Sciuridae.